UACGGCCAUAUCACGUUCAAACACCGGUUUCCGUACAAUCACCGAAGUUAAGCAGCUUCUAGCCUGAUCAGUACUUAGAUGGGUGACCGCUUG
Molecule: non-coding RNA, 93 nt
Organism: Acanthosepion pharaonis
Lineage: Eukaryota; Metazoa; Mollusca; Cephalopoda; Sepiida; Sepiidae
Source: the annotation of a GenBank genome assembly